AAUCAACGCUGGCGGCGUGCCUAACACAUGCAAGUCGAACGAGAAAGUGGGGGCAACCCUGCGAGUACAGUGGCAGACGGGUGAGUAACACGUGAACAACCUACCCUUGAGUGGGGAAUAACACCGCGAAAGCGGAGCUAAUACCGCAUAACAUCUUGAGCUCGCAUGGGCGAGAGAUCAAAGCCGAAAGGCGCUUGAGGAGGGGUUCGCGGCUGAUUAGCUAGUUGGUGAGGUAACGGCUCACCAAGGCGACGAUCAGUAGCCGGCCUGAGAGGGCGACCGGCCACACUGGAACUGAGACACGGUCCAGACUCCUACGGGAGGCAGCAGUGGGGAAUUUUGGACAAUGGGGGCAACCCUGACGCAGCAACGCCGCGUGAGUGAGGAAGGUUUUCGGACUGUAAAACUCUGUCUUUGGGGACGAUAAUGACGGUACCCAAGGAGGAAGCCACGGCUAACUACGUG
RNAcentral lists this ribosomal RNA (465 nucleotides) under uncultured bacterium. Its description in RNAcentral is "bacterial SSU rRNA". It matches the Rfam family "Bacterial small subunit ribosomal RNA", at positions 32 to 507 of the family's 1533-position model. The record is from RNAcentral.